UACGGAGGGAGCUAGCGUUGUUCGGAAUUACUGGGCGUAAAGCGCACGUAGGCGGCUUUUUAAGUCAGGGGUGAAAUCCCGGGGCUCAACCCCGGAACUGCCUUUGAAACUGGAGAGCUAGAAUCCUGGAGAGGUUAGUGGAAUUCCGAGUGUAGAGGUGAAAUUCGUAGAUAUUCGGAAGAACACCAGUGGCGAAGGCGACUAACUGGACAGGUAUUGACGCUGAGGUGCGAAAGCGUGGGGAGCAAACAGG
This 253-nucleotide ribosomal RNA is filed under the name uncultured bacterium. Its description in RNAcentral is "partial 16S ribosomal RNA". It matches the Rfam family "Bacterial small subunit ribosomal RNA", at positions 524 to 776 of the family's 1533-position model. The record is from RNAcentral.